This 253-nucleotide ribosomal RNA is filed under the name uncultured bacterium. RNAcentral's name for it is "partial 16S ribosomal RNA". It matches the Rfam family "Bacterial small subunit ribosomal RNA", at positions 524 to 776 of the family's 1533-position model. The record is from RNAcentral.
UACGUAGGGCGCAAGCGUUGUCCGGAAUUAUUGGGCGUAAAGAGCUCGUAGGCGGCCUGUUACGUCUGCUGUGAAAUCCCGGGGCUUAACCCCGGGCGUGCAGUGGAUACGGGCAGGCUGGAGGCAGGCAGGGGAGAACGGAAUUCCCGGUGUAGCGGUGAAAUGCGCAGAUAUCGGGAGGAACACCGGUGGCGAAGGCGGUUCUCUGGGCCGAUACUGACGCUGAGGAGCGAAAGCGUGGGGAGCGAACAGG